AGGAUGAACGCUGGCGGCGUGCCUAAAACAUGCAAGUCAUACGGGCUACCUUCGGGUAGCCAGUGGCAAACGGGUGAGUAACACGUGGGAACACGCCUUCGAGUGGGGAAUAACGCUGAGAAAUCAGUGCUAAUACCGCAUAUGGUCUAACGACUAAAGCAGCAAUGCGCUCGGAGAGUGGCCCGCGACCGAUUAGCUAGUUGGUGGGGUAAUGGCCUACCAAGGCGGUGAUCGGUAGCUGGUCUGAGAGGAUGGUCAGCCACACUGGGACUGCGAACGGCCCAGACUCCUACGGGAGGCAGCAGUUAGGAAUUUUCGGCAAUGGACGAAAGUCUGACCGAGCGACGCCGCGUGGAGGAUGAAGCCUUUCGGGGUGUAAACUCCUUUCUGCGGGAAGAUAAUGACGGUACCGCAGGAAUAAGCACCGGCUAACUACGCGCCAGCAGCCGC
This 450-nucleotide ribosomal RNA is filed under the name uncultured bacterium. RNAcentral's name for it is "SSU rRNA". It matches the Rfam family "Bacterial small subunit ribosomal RNA", at positions 26 to 518 of the family's 1533-position model. The record is from RNAcentral.